This is a long non-coding RNA of Spinacia oleracea (spinach), 1097 nucleotides long. RefSeq lists it as uncharacterized. The transcript is spliced from 3 exons. The record is from RefSeq and is a predicted model, not a curated record. Lineage: Eukaryota; Viridiplantae; Streptophyta; Magnoliopsida; Caryophyllales; Amaranthaceae.
CCAUCUCUGAUAAUAAUAAAAAGGGCGACUACAUAGAAUUCGCCCUCUUCGAUAAAUUUAUUAAAAAUACAAAUAAAAAAUGCCAAAUUCCUUUCGUCGUCCACAAUUGCGCUUUCUAAGAUUCUUCAAUUUAGCUUUCUCUUCUCAAUUUCUCUUUCCCUCCCCUAAAUCUCCAGUUUAGCUUUCUCUCUCCCUCUCCAUCUUCAACUUCUCUGUUCAUAAACCCUAACUUUAUGCGUUUUGAUUGAGUUUGUCUGAAAUUUGGUUAAGUUCGCCUGAAAUUUGGUCCAAUCGCACAUAUUUUCUCAUAUUCGAAGUUCAUAUGUUUUUGGUUAAUUAUUUAGGGUUUUGUUUUGUGAAUCUAUGGAAUCUUACAAUUUGAGGUCUAUGUUGGAGUUACUGGUUCCCUUCAGACAAACCUUCAAUUUGAGGUCUGCUUGUGAUUCAAUCAUUGCAAUUUAUUUGUGUUAUUAUAUUAGUGUGAAAGUCAAACCAUUGGACACAACCGGUGCAGGCAAUGCAUUUGUGGGAGGCUUUCUGACAGUUUAGUUUCCGACUUGAAAUUAUUGAAGGAUUCCAAGCCUUUUUGAUGAUUUCCUAUAAGUUUGUGUCAAAGAACAAGAUUGCGCGAUAAUCCUUAGUCCACAAAAGAUCAUCUAUCAAGUUUGUCAUAAGCACUGAGAAAACGUUUGAUACACACUACUACAAUUUCCGUGUUUUGGCGACGCGGCUUAUUAACGACGCCGAAAGGCGUCGAGAAAAAUGGCCUCGACACCUGUCAAUAUCGUCGAGAAAAUGCAAGUCGAGAAUUCGCGACGCUUAAAGGCGUCGAGAAUUGGGACGACCUCAGCUGCCCAGACAACAAGCAGGGCGUCGUGAAUGUUGACGCCUUCCAACGUCUUAAAUUUGUAUCUUGCGUCGACAAUUGUGACGACCUUCGCUGUCCAAAAAUGAUCAGGGUGUCGAGAUUCUCGACGCCUUACAACGUCUUAAAAUUUUUUCUAGGCGUCAAGAAACUUAGAUCUAAACCGGGAUUAAAAAAAAUUGUCGACGCUUUUUUGCGUCCUUAUUCCAAACAUCAUUUGUUGUGCAUUGUU